Molecule: ribosomal RNA, 254 nt
Filed under: uncultured bacterium
Lineage: Bacteria
Description: partial 16S ribosomal RNA
Rfam family: Bacterial small subunit ribosomal RNA
Source: RNAcentral
GACGGAGGAUGCAAGUGUUAUCCGGAAUCACUGGGCGUAAAGCGUCUGUAGGUGGUUUAAUAAGUCAACUGUUAAAUCUUGAGGCUCAACCUCAAAAUCGCAGUCGAAACUAUUAGGCUAGAGUAUAGUAGGGGUAAAGGGAAUUUCCAGUGGAGCGGUGAAAUGCGUAGAGAUUGGAAAGAACACCGAUGGCGAAGGCGGUUUCCUGGGCCAACACUGACGCUGAGGCGCGAAAAGCGUGGGGAGCAAACAGG